RNAcentral lists this non-coding RNA (29 nucleotides) under Homo sapiens (human). The record is from RNAcentral. Lineage: Eukaryota; Metazoa; Chordata; Mammalia; Primates; Hominidae.
UGGCUCUCGAUGGCUUGGACCCAGGUGUC